GCGGGAAUUCACCUGACCGAUGAGAUCACUGUUAAGAUCAGAUAAAAGUCGUUUUUAAUGUUUGGUCCGUUUGGAGACAGAAACUUCGAAGAAUUAUGAUCUGGAUGGGAGUCGUUGCUGAGCUGCUAUCAGCAAACACCAUGCUGACCUUUGCUCCCGCUCGGCUUUACAGCAGCUGUACAGACAGUGGCAGCCUCUAUCCCACUGAUUAUCCACGCGCAGGAUGACAGGUGACCUUCUGAUCGUGCGCUGUGUGACUGACUCUUCACGGCCUUCAGGAGCCCCUGUGUCAUUGCCUCUUUGACAUUUUGGACCAUUACUGUCAGCAGCAGUAACAACAGCUGCUCUUUGUGGUUGCCACUUUGUUGUUAAGACACAGUUUCUGUUGUGAUACAAGAAGGAGUUCACAUAUUUCCAUCAAGCCUGAUUGGCCGCUCGAUCAUCAUCAUCAUCAUCAUAUUCAUGUAUUGAGAAAAGAUACAUAUAACAUUUACACAGACACUCGGAGUAUUCGAUACCGUAAAGUAAACAGAAUAAAGUUCAUCCUCCUAAAAGAUACAUUGAUUUUGAUUCACAAAAUACUUAUCAAUAAUAAGUGAAUUCAUGCAUUUGAAUGACUGGAUAGAAAUGUACAUCACAUGAGUAAUAAACAGGCAGUGGGAAUAAAACAG
This is a non-coding RNA of Paralichthys olivaceus (Japanese flounder), 671 nucleotides long. NCBI's taxonomy places the organism in Eukaryota, Metazoa, Chordata, Actinopteri, Pleuronectiformes, Paralichthyidae. The record is from RefSeq and is a predicted model, not a curated record.